AAGAUAUCUUUUUUUUUACCCAGCUUGGAGAACCUUGUCUCCACAACAUAAAGAAAGAAUAAUAAAUUGUAAAAGAAAUAAUCAAAUUGAAACUGAUACAACUUCCAGGUGUUGCAAUAAAGUCGUAAAUAAAAUGUAAUGUAACCUGAAGUGAAAGACAAUGCAAGCAGACAUUGUCCUCCUCCAGGAACAGAAAUGUGUUGUUGGAUUGGGUCAGGUAUCUGCCUGGAGAUUGCCAUGAAAAAAGGACUGUCAGUCACAAAACUUGGAGGGAGAGAGAUGCAGAGAAAGUCAGAGAGAAACAAGAGAAAAAAUCUUUAGAUGAUGACCGGGUGCCAAUUGUCCACAUCAUCUAUAAUUCUAUUCGGAAAUCAUGUGAAGGAAGUCCUAGUGAAUUGUUCUUCUCAUUGUGCUAUCGAGGAAACCAGAAUACUAGGACUUUGGGAUAAUUUUCAUCCAAGGAAAAACAAGUACAUUCUGAGUGUGAAAGAAACAUUAAUUGUGAUGAUGAUGCUUAGAAAAGAAGACGAAAAGAAAAAUUAUAAUAUUAAUACAAAAACAAGGUAUUUAUUCUUCUGAUGUCAU
This 585-nucleotide long non-coding RNA is filed under the name Androctonus crassicauda. The record is from RNAcentral. Lineage: Eukaryota; Metazoa; Arthropoda; Arachnida; Scorpiones; Buthidae.